Molecule: long non-coding RNA, 3124 nt
Filed under: Equus caballus (horse)
Lineage: Eukaryota; Metazoa; Chordata; Mammalia; Perissodactyla; Equidae
Description: lncRNA (ENSECAG00000053504.1)
Source: RNAcentral
CCUUUGUCUCAGGGAUCUGCUUUUCCUGCUCUCCCAUGCCAUUACCAGCUGCCUCCUAACGCUCCCUAUGGUGGAAAGAGAAAUGGCUACCUCUGGGGGGUCGACGGGCUCACAUCUGGAGUAGGUUCCCUCCAGCCAAAAUAUUUAAAUCCUGAAUAAAGGCUUUCUUUUGGCCUGGAAGAAGGAAGAGAAUUUCUCUGAGGAUUUUCAGAGGGCCCCUGAGACUUCUCAAAGAGAUUUGCUCUCUCUUCCUAUAAGGAGGAAGACACUAAGAGAAAUUCAUGGAAAGGACUUUGACACUCUAGAAUACAGGUUUCCGACAAACUUUCAGAUUGUAAAACUGAAGUGGGUAAGAAAUUACAGAACUCUAAUAGAGAAACUGAUGACUUCAUGAAACUGCUGACAGAAGAUUAAGGUCAAGAAUCGAUUACACAGGACUGUGGAACCUAUGAAGAUGAUUAUAAUUUUUAUGAUUUUUGUUUGAAAUGUUGAUUUUUUAAAUGUUUUCUUUUGUCUUCUCAGAUUUAAGGAAAUCUUUUUCUGUUUUCUCUUAUGCUAACUAUGACUUAUAGCAACUUGGUGAAAUUAUACCUUUAUGAGCAGAAUUGAAACAUUUAUCUUUUUCUCCCUACCUGAUCCCUCCAGAAUUUGGAAACUCUUAGUGAGUGAGAGAGUAUGGUUAUUUUCACGGCAGCAUAGCUAUUUGUAUAAGUUCAAUAAGAAUCUUCUCUCCCUAUAACUGGACACAUUUGGAAACAUCUGUCAUUUAACCAAGUCUUUGACUGGAAUGUCAUAUUUGAGAGAAAUAUACAGACUCAGAUAUGACAAGACAGUUUUUGAGGAAUAAAGGUUAACUUCCUGAAAUAAAGCCACUUGGAAAUAUUGGCCUGGUACCUUGUUUACAAGGAUUCCAGCAGCCCGGGUAAGUAAGGAAGGUCACUUAUCCGGCAGGUGCUUGGACCUUGAAAUACUUUUGGGGAACUUCAUGAGAUGAGAUGAAUUCACCCAAAUCUAAAGUAUUGCAGGUGAAGCCUGAUGACAAAUCCUUGGCUUAGCUUUGCUGGCCUUGAGAGGCCUUUAAAAUACAACCUGAGAUUUCUUGUAAAAAGUUGCAGCAAAGCAGAUUUUAAAGAGCCUAUAUGAUCAAUGGUUAUUCUUGCUGUACUUAUGUAAAUAAUUUAAUUAAAUUUUAUUAAUGCUAGCCUUGUUUUGCAAACCAAUGAGUCUUAGUUGGCUAUCUUUGGUAAAAAUGAGGGUGAUUUUAGAGAAAAAAGUUAUGUUUCAGUAGAAACUAUGGUAGGCAUUCAUGGAUAUUAGAUUCUAGUUCUGUUAUUUGCCUUUGAAGCUUUUGUUUGUAUCUGUUUACUGGACUGGGUCCUAAAUUCUUCUAGUCUCUUGAAAUAUCUGGCUACAAAUCUCUGAACUAAUGAUUUUAAUUUUUUCCCAUCAUUUUCACUUGGAAUCAUUGACAACUGAAGCUGCCCUUUUUCCUGAAGCCUUGCAAGCUGAAACUCGAGGACUUGAUAUAAACUUCAGAGAUAUUCAUAGCUGUUGCUAUGUAAGCUCCUCAGAAAGAUACCUGAACACCUGAUGGCAUCAUCAGGGAUAUUUCAAACUGCAAAAGAUGCUUUGACCCUGACAUCUAGAAGUUUUCUUGACUGGCUGACCCUGGGCUCAGAAACUGGUUUAUAAUUUGCUCCCACCAUUAACCUUGUUUUUCUUUUUGUCUCUGUAGAAAUGCUUCUUAUUAAAUAUCUGGUUACCUGCUUACCCAAUAUAGGCCUAACUAUGGGAGCCCACCUGCAUCACCGUCUUACUAAGAGACUGGUUCCAUGAGAUGGAACAACCUAUGACCCUCAUCAACAGGGUGUCCCUCAAGAUUGAGGGAUGAAAAACAAAAAGGAGGAAUUGAAACCAGCUCAACACAAGGUUGACAUAAGGGAAGCCAUAUUGUAGAAAAGAAACCAUGUUGUAACUUUGAAUGACCUCUGACUAACUAACCCAGCUGGAUUUGCACCCUCCAGGAGAUCCACCUGUUCUGUAUAUUUUUUUAAAGAUUUUAUUUUUCCUUUUUCUCCCCAAAGCUCCCUGGUACAUAGUUGUGGAUCCUUCCAGUUGUGGCAUGUGGGAUGCCACCUCAGCAUGGCCCAAUGAACAGUGCCAUGCCUGCACCCAGGACCUGAACUGGCAAAACCCUGGGCUGCCAAAGCAGAGUGCACAAACCCAACCACUUGGCCAUGGGGCCAGUGCCUGUUCUGUAGAUUUUGUGACCGCUGCCUGUGCAUAUACCUUCCAGCUGUGAUAAGACAAUAACUUCAUUCUUUUGAGUUCCUUAGGAAUGUGAUGAUCCCCAAAGAGAGAGUUUCUGCUGAUAGCCAUCAUCAAUGAAAACUGAAAGACCUGGUGUGGCCACUCCCAGUCUGUAACACCAGAGGGUCAACAUUCCUAAGCCCCUACCCUAUAACCCAUUGGCCCAUAUAACUGCUUCAGGAUUCUGUGCCCUGCUUAAGAUGGUUUUUUUGGACAUUAGUCAGCCAUCUUCCCUCUUGCUAGCAAACUGUAAUAAAAUACUCUUUCUCUGCCACCAGCUUGCCUCUUGACCUUUGGCUUUUGUCUCACAGCGAGCAGAUUGUGCCCUUUGUGCAGUGACAUUAGGUGCUCAGUGCCCUGACAUCACUGAGGUUUGUCUCAUGUCUAUGAGACAUGACUAUGUCUCUGUCUAUGGGGCCUCUCCCGGGCAGCAAGUCAAGCGCUGGCUCCUUCCAUUUCUAGAUGCUGCCAUCUUGAAACAGGGCCUUCACAGUGAACAUGGAAGGGAAAGAGAGAGGGUGGAAGGUUGAAUGGGGGCUUGUGCUCAGGCGUGGGGGGGCAGGCAUGACUCCUGUGCAUAUCCCAUGGUCCAGAACCAGUCCUGUGGUCCCAAUUCAUGGCCAGAGAGCCAGGGAAAUGUCAUCUUCCCAUGUGCCCAGGAGGAGAAGAUGGGAUGAGGGGGCAUGUGGUCUGAUUCUGCCACACUCGCCCUCUGAAAACCACAGUUUCCUUGUCUGUAAAAUGGGAUUUGCAUGGGACUUGGAUUACUGAGUCCCAGCUCUGAGUUAGGGGAGCUGCUUCAUGAAAAUCUGGU